Molecule: ribosomal RNA, 1074 nt
Filed under: uncultured beta proteobacterium
Lineage: Bacteria; Pseudomonadati; Pseudomonadota; Betaproteobacteria
Description: bacterial SSU rRNA
Rfam family: Bacterial small subunit ribosomal RNA
Source: RNAcentral
UCGGCGGGGAAGAAAUCGCACAGGUUAAUACCUUGUGUGGAUGACGGUACCGGAAUAAGAAGCACCGGCUAACUACGUGCCAGUAGCCGCGGUAAUACGUAGGGUGCGAGCGUUAAUCGGAAUUACUGGGCGUAAAGCGUGCGCAGGCGGUUUCGUAAGAUAGAUGUGAAAUCCCCGGGCUCAACCUGGGAACUGCAUUUGUGACUGCGAGGCUAGAGUAUGGCAGAGGGGGGUGGAAUUCCACGUGUAGCAGUGAAAUGCGUAGAGAUGUGGAGGAACACCGAUGGCGAAGGCAGCCCCCUGGGCCAAUACUGACGUUCAUGCACGAAAGCGUGGGGAGCAAACAGGGUUAGAUACCCUGGUAGUCCACGCCCUAAACGAUGUCAACUAGGUGUUGGGAGGGUUAAACCUUUUAGUGCCGUAGCUAACGCGUGAAGUUGACCGCCUGGGGAGUACGGCCGCAAGGCUAAAACUCAAAGGAAUUGACGGGGACCCGCACAAGCGGUGGAUGAUGUGGAUUAAUUCGAUGCAACGCGAAAAACCUUACCUACCCUUGACAUGUCAGGAAUCCUGGAGAGAUUUGGGAGUGCUCGCAAGAGAACCUGAACACAGGUGCUGCAUGGCUGUCGUCAGCUCGUGUCGUGAGAUGUUGGGUUAAGUCCCGCAACGAGCGCAACCCUUGUCAUUAAUUGCCAUCAUUCAGUUGGGCACUUUAAUGAGACUGCCGGUGACAAACCGGAGGAAGGUGGGGAUGAGGUCAAGUCCUCAUGGCCCUUAUGGGUAGGGCUUCACACGUCAUACAAUGGUCGGUUCAGAGGGUUGCCAACCCGCGAGGGGGAGCCAAUCUCAGAAAGCCGAUCGUAGUCCGGAUCGCAGUCUGCAACUCGACUGCGUGAAGUCGGAAUCGCUAGUAAUCGCGGAUCAGCAUGUCGCGGUGAAUACGUUCCCGGGUCUUGUACACACCGCCCGUCACACCAUGGGAGCGGGUUCUGCCAGAAGUAGUUAGCCUAACCGCAAGGAGGGCGAUUACCACGGCAGGGUUCGUGACUGGGGUGAAGUCGUAACAAGGUAGCC